CUAUUACUCCCUCCGUCCCAAAAUACUUGUCAAAGAAAUGGAUAAAAAUAGAUGUAUCUACAAGACUACAACUAAAAUACAUCUAGAUACAUUCAUUUAUCCGACAAGUAUUUCCGGACGAAGGGAGUAUUAU
Non-coding RNA from Triticum aestivum (bread wheat), 133 nucleotides. NCBI's taxonomy places the organism in Eukaryota, Viridiplantae, Streptophyta, Magnoliopsida, Poales, Poaceae. The record is from Rfam.